Molecule: transfer RNA, 88 nt
Filed under: Sedimentisphaerales bacterium
Lineage: Bacteria; Pseudomonadati; Planctomycetota; Phycisphaerae; Sedimentisphaerales
Description: tRNA-Ser
Rfam family: tRNA
About the family: Transfer RNA (tRNA) molecules are approximately 80 nucleotides in length. Their secondary structure includes four short double-helical elements and three loops (D, anti-codon, and T loops). Further hydrogen bonds mediate the characteristic L-shaped molecular structure. tRNAs have two regions of fundamental functional importance: the anti-codon, which is responsible for specific mRNA codon recognition, and the 3' end, to which the tRNAs corresponding amino acid is attached (by aminoacyl-tRNA synthetases). tRNAs cope with the degeneracy of the genetic code in two manners: having more than one tRNA (with a specific anti-codon) for a particular amino acid; and 'wobble' base-pairing, i.e. permitting non-standard base-pairing at the 3rd anti-codon position.
Source: RNAcentral
GGAGAGGUGUCGGAGUGGCUUAUCGAGCUGGUUUCGAAAACCAGUGUCCCGAUCCUCGGGACCGCGGGUUCGAAUCCCGCCCUCUCCG